This 722-nucleotide long non-coding RNA is filed under the name Cucumis sativus (cucumber). RNAcentral describes it as "long non-coding RNA (CSAT_LNC000971)". The record is from RNAcentral. Lineage: Eukaryota; Viridiplantae; Streptophyta; Magnoliopsida; Cucurbitales; Cucurbitaceae.
CGACAACAACAGCCUCAGUUUCAUGGCCAAAACUCUCAAAUCUUCAGGACAGAGUGAAGAAACAUGCCUCCCUCCAGCCCUGCAUUUCAUACCACCCAAAACCCAUCAACAAGAAUCCAUUCAUGAAGUUCAUAUGGUACUAUUUCCUGUCAUGGAUGAUCUUUUAACCAAAACCCAUCUCUCUCCUUGCGACAUUGAUAUUCUUAUUGUUAAUUGCAGUGGCUUUUGCCCUUCUCCUUCCCUGUCAUCCAUAGUCAUCAACAAAUAUUCCAUGAGAAGUGAUAUUAAAAGCUAUAACCUCUCUGGAAUGGGGUGCAGUGCAAGUGCUGUUGCCAUUCAUUUAGCUGAAAAUCUUCUUCAAGUACACGAAAACUCAAAUGUUGUUGUUCUUAGUACAGAAAUUCUAUCAAACGGUUGGUAUGCAGGAAAGGAACACUCCAGACUAAUCCUCAAUUGCUACUUCCGUAUGGGCGGUGCGGCUAUUUUACUCACCAACAGAAAAGAGGCGAAACUUUUUUCAAAAUAUAAACUAUUUAAAACCCUUAGAACACAGACAUCCUACGAUGAUAGAAGUUACCUUUCAGCCAUACGCGAAGAGGACAAGGAAGGAAAACUCGGAGUCUCUGUAACAAGAGAUACGCUUCAGGUUUUCCCCGAAACACUCCGUAUCAACAUAACCCUUCUGGGUUCUUCAAUAUUGCCGCUGUCUGAGAAACUCCGGU